Molecule: long non-coding RNA, 865 nt
Filed under: Ananas comosus (pineapple)
Lineage: Eukaryota; Viridiplantae; Streptophyta; Magnoliopsida; Poales; Bromeliaceae
Description: long non-coding RNA (ACOM_LNC034606)
Source: RNAcentral
UAAGAAUUUAAAUAAAAACUAUCAAAUACCUAAAAACAAAAUCUGUAAUAAAAUUUUAUCUUGUGAAAUCAGAUGUUGAUACAAAUAUAUAUUUAAUAGAAUACUAUAUUUUAAAAUAUAAUUAACGAUAUACCUAUUGUAUCCGCGGCAAAGCACGGGUACAUCGCUAGUAUUCUUUUUAUAUGCUGGGCAAUAUGGAAAGAAAGAAAUACGAAUAUUUUGAUGCAAAGAGAUGCACAAUGAAGACCUAAUCUGGGAGGCUAAAUACGAGGCGAAGCUUUAGACUCAAGCUGCUAUAACUGACAUUCUCUGAAAAAGAUUCUUUUUAUAUAUUUUCCUAAUCCGGGAGGCUAAAUACGAGUCUGAGCUUUAGACUCAGCUGCUAUAACUGACAUUCUCUGAGAAAGAUUCUACUUUUCCUUAUUUGUCUUUUAUAUAAGUAUUAGUAAGAAAUUAUAGUAAAUUAAACUUUGGGUAAACUUUAAAUAUCACUCUUGUGGUUUCGUAAUUUCUCAAUUUAGUAUUCUGUGGUUUAAAGUGUAUCAAUUUAGUAUCAUGUGGUUUUAUUUUUUUUUUCGUCAGUUCCUUCGUUAACUUUUCGUUAAAUUAUAUACAAAAAAUUUCAGAUACCCCACUUAUAGUUUAUCUAAUAUUUAUUUUAGUAUUCUUUAGUGUUAACUUUGUCACUGAUUUAACGAAAAAAUUAGUAGAAGAAAUAACAAAAAAAAAAUACUUUAAACCACAUAUUAUUAAAGUGAGAAAGUACGAAAUCACAUAAAUGAUAUUCGAAGUUUUUUCUUAAACUUUUAUAAUCAAAGUAUCACGCCUCUCAUAGUUUGAGGAUCAAAAGUCUAAUUUACCCUAU